RNAcentral lists this ribosomal RNA (460 nucleotides) under uncultured bacterium. RNAcentral's name for it is "partial 16S ribosomal RNA". It matches the Rfam family "Bacterial small subunit ribosomal RNA", at positions 338 to 795 of the family's 1533-position model. The record is from RNAcentral.
CCUACGGGUGGCAGCAGUGAGGAAUAUUGGUCAAUGGGCGAGAGCCUGAACCAGCCAAGUCGCGUGAGGGAAGACGGUCCUAUGGAUUGUAAACCUCUUUUUGUGGGGAGCAAAAAGCGGUACGUGUACCGCAUCGAGAGUACCCGGAGAAAAAGCAUCGGCUAACUCCGUGCCAGCAGCCGCGGUAAUACGGAGGAGGCGAGCGUUAUCCGGAUUUAUUGGGUUUAAAGGGUGCGCAGGCGGUCUUGUAAGUCAGGGGUGAAAGGCCGGGGCUCAACCCCCGGCCCGCGGUGGAACCGGGCAGUCUCGAGUGGGAGAGAGGUAUGCGGAAUGCGCGGUGUAGCGGUGAAAUGCGUAGAUAUCGGGCAGAACUCCGAUUGCGAAGGCAGCAUGCCGGCUCCACACUGACGCUGAGGCACGAAAGCGUGGGUAUCGAACAGGAUUAGAUACCCGUGUAGUC